RNAcentral lists this microRNA (21 nucleotides) under Glycine max (soybean). RNAcentral's name for it is "gma-miR9740". The record is from miRBase by way of RNAcentral. Lineage: Eukaryota; Viridiplantae; Streptophyta; Magnoliopsida; Fabales; Fabaceae.
UGUAGGUUCCAGUGAGGGAAA